CAGCAGGAGCUGAAAUUAGAUGGGUUUUUUUUUCAACUGAACAGGUAUAGACCAUUACAUGCUGGCCCCACAAUGCACCAGCAGUUCUCAUAAUCCCUGACCUAGAGAGACCACCUUGGAGAAAAAUGGCGUAAUCCAGUCUUCUGCUCCUCAGUCUUAGGUGUUU
This 166-nucleotide small RNA is filed under the name Phascolarctos cinereus (koala). RNAcentral's name for it is "TUC338 (ENSPCIG00000021607.2)". The record is from RNAcentral. Lineage: Eukaryota; Metazoa; Chordata; Mammalia; Diprotodontia; Phascolarctidae.